CCUACGGGAGGCUGCAGUGAGGAAUAUUGGUCAAUGGGCGCGAGUCUGAACCAGCCAAGUCGCGUGAAGGAUGACUGCCCUACGGGUUGUAAACUUCUUUUAUAAAGGAGUAAAGUGAGUCACGUGUGCCGCUUUGUGUGUACUUUAUGAAAAAGGAUCGGCUAACUCCGUGCCAGCAGCCGCGGUAAUACGGAGGAUCCGAGCGUUAUCCGGAUUUAUUGGGUUUAAAGGGAGCGUAGAUGGGUGGUUAAGUCAGUUGUGAAAGUCUGCGGCUCAACCGUAGAAUUGCGUUUGAUACUGGCAGCCUUGAGUGAAGGUGAGGCAGGCGGAAUUCGGGGUGUAGCGGUGAAAUGCUUAGAUAUCCGGAAGAACUCCGAUUGCGAAGGCAGCUUGCUGAACUGCAACUGACGUUGAGGCGCGAAAGCGUGGGGAGCAAACAGGAUUAGAUACCCGGGUAGUC
This 460-nucleotide ribosomal RNA is filed under the name uncultured bacterium. Its description in RNAcentral is "partial 16S ribosomal RNA". It matches the Rfam family "Bacterial small subunit ribosomal RNA", at positions 338 to 795 of the family's 1533-position model. The record is from RNAcentral.